AUGACUUUGGUAGGUUCCUCUGAUGGCAUUAAGGGAACGACGAGGUCCACCAGUGAGCAAAUCGGACAAACAAGGUUAGUCUUCUCAUCUCCGAUGUUAUGGAGUUUAAAAUUGAGCCAGUUGUGAUAAGAAUUGUGUGGCUUUGGUGAUUGAGUUCAUUAUUUAGUGUUGGUUUCAGCUUCAUCAUCAUCAUUAGUUUAAUUAUCUCUAUAGCGACAUGAAAUGUGUGAGAAAAAGCUACAACCAAAUAGAGAACUUAAAGUCCUUAGAAGAGAAACAACAAAACUAUAUCAUCAUCUUACAAUUUAUCUUCAUGAACCUACAUAUACGAGCAUAUAGAAUAUGGAAACUUUGAAGUUCUUUAUUUAGUGUUGGUUUCAGCUUCAACAUCAUCAUCAGUUUAAAUAUUGUAGUGUGAUUGAAACCAACAUUUGUUUUCUAAUUGAACUAAUUCAGAAUCAUGAGAACAAUCAAAGUUACAUUUAAAAGUAGUAAUGAUUUGAGUAUGCUUUCGAAGUCAUGUUCUUGCCUAAUUGGAACCCUUUUAUUUCAAAGUAUU
Molecule: long non-coding RNA, 559 nt
Filed under: Capsella grandiflora
Lineage: Eukaryota; Viridiplantae; Streptophyta; Magnoliopsida; Brassicales; Brassicaceae
Description: long non-coding RNA (CGRA_LNC000416)
Source: RNAcentral